Molecule: long non-coding RNA, 641 nt
Organism: Pteropus alecto (black flying fox)
Lineage: Eukaryota; Metazoa; Chordata; Mammalia; Chiroptera; Pteropodidae
Exons: 3
Source: RefSeq, a predicted model, not a curated record
GAGUCAUAUGCGAAUAAAAUGUAACCUCACGUCCCUGCCUUCUUGUCCAGCUUCCCUGGAUGGUGCAGGUGAAAUGGACUUUUAGCUGCACCUCCUAUGAACAUUGGCUGUGUAGAGCUAACCAGGCUGGUGUCUAGAUUGGGAGAAACUGUACCCAAGUCCAGAGAAAGCACACUCCAAGGAGUCCUCGGUAAUUACUGAAUGGAAUUAUCCACAUGCCCAUCUGGCCAAAUCACCACUAUCAGAUGGCUGUGGUCCCUGCUCAUCUUUGGAUCCUGACCCUUAGUCCCCAUCAAUAUCGUGAAGAGAGAAGCUGAAGAGAGAGCCACAAAUGUUGACAGAUAUCCAAAUGACAGAGACACAUAUGGAGUAAAUGCACUUACUUGGCCCAUUGCCAUAAAAAUGAUAUGAGAAAGAAGUGAUUGUACCUUUAAAAGAAUGAAAUACGGCAAGCUAGACUUUGCACACUUCUUAAAUUAACCAAUUAAUCAGUGGUAUAAAAAAAUACCAGCUUCUUAAACAUAAAACCAAUAGAACAAAGAAAUAAAAGGAAAGAAUUUUUUCAUCUGUUUCUGUAUGAGAUAUAACUAUGCACCAAACAGAAAUGAAAGGAGUUAAAAUGUAAAGCAAAUAACUGUGAA